AUUGAACGCUGGCGGCAUGCUUUACACAUGCAAGUCGAACGGUAACAGCACUUCGGUGGCUGACGAGUGGCGAACGGGUGAGUAAUACAUCGGAACGUGCCUAGUAGUGGGGGAUAACUACUCGAAAGAGUAGCUAAUACCGCAUGAGAUCUAAGGAUGAAAGCAGGGGACCUUCGUGCCUUGCGCUACUAGAGCGGCUGAUGGCAGAUUAGGUAGUUGGUGGGAUAAAAGCUUACCAAGCCGACGAUCUGUAGCUGGUCUGAGAGGACGACCAGCCACACUGGGACUGAGCCACGGCCCAGACUCCUACGGGAGGCAGCAGUGGGGAAUUUUGGACAAUGGGCGCAAGCCUGAUCCAGCAAUGCCGCGUGCAGGAUGAAGGCCUUCGGGUUGUAAACUGCUUUUGUACGGAACGAAAAGCCCUCUUCUAAUACAGGAGGGUCAUGACGGUACCGUAAGAAUAAGCACCGGCUAACUACGUG
Molecule: ribosomal RNA, 482 nt
Filed under: uncultured bacterium
Lineage: Bacteria
Description: partial 16S ribosomal RNA
Rfam family: Bacterial small subunit ribosomal RNA
Source: RNAcentral